GCCUUACACAUGCAAGUCGAACGGCAGCACGGGAGCAAUCCUAGUGGCGAGUGGCGAACGGGUGAGUAAUAUAUCGGAACGUGCCCGGUCGUGGGGGAUAACGUAGCGAAAGCUACGCUAAUACCGCAUACGAUCUACGGAUGAAAGCGGGGGAUCGCAAGACCUCGCGCGAUUGGAGCGGCCGAUAUCAGAUUAGGUAGUUGGUGGGGUAAAGGCCUACCAAGGCGACGAUCCAUAGCUGGUCUGAGAGGAUGAUCAGCCACACUGGGACUGAGACACGGCCCAGACUCCUACGGGAGGCAGCAGUGGGGAAUUUUGGACAAUGGGCGCAAGCCUGAUCCAGCAAUGCCGCGUGCAGGAUGAAGGCCUUCGGGUUGUAAACUGCUUUUGUACGGAACGAAACGGUGAGCUCUAAUACAGUUUGCUAAUGACGGUACCGUAAGAAUAAGCACCGGCUAACUACGUG
Molecule: ribosomal RNA, 466 nt
Filed under: uncultured bacterium
Lineage: Bacteria
Description: bacterial SSU rRNA
Rfam family: Bacterial small subunit ribosomal RNA
Source: RNAcentral